UUUUUUCCUCCAACCCGGCCCAUUCUUUGUUUAGCAAAGGAAGCCUAGUCGCGUGAAUACAUGGAACGGGUGUCAAAGUUCACGGAGGACAUGACGAGUACGCGGAGUGAAAAGCAAAUCGCGUGCCUGAUUGAUUUCUCGUCGUCUUCCUCGCUACGUCAUCAAUCCGUACGUUUCCAGCAGAGAGGAUUCAUCCUUCGCAGACCAGGUGGAGCAGUCUGCACCAUUGUUCGUCCUUGGCUCAAGAUCGGAUGGUCCUCAUCGUUUUCCCGUUGUGGAUUGUACAUUUUCGAUUUGUUCCCCCAAAAUUGCUAGCUGUAAAAUAAUACCCCCUUUUUUCCCCGUUGGAAAAAAAAGUUUGAAGUUGCAAGGGAGGAUUCUCUAUUUUUGGAUGAAAUUUUGGGAUUAGAAUUCAAAACCCCCUAGUUCUAAUACAAUUUUGCACUCACCCUUUUCCCCUCAUUUUUUUCGAAACCCUACAUCUCCAUCUAUAUAUUAGUUUUUGUUCUAGAAAAAAGGGUUUUUUUUUAUCUUGAAUAAGAGGGAACGAAAAUUUUGGAAAGAAUUCUUUUGAAGGUAGAAACAUAGAGGGAGAGAGUUGUUUUUGGAUUUUUCUUUUUUUGAGAAAGGUCUUGAACUUUGAAAAGACUUGGUUUGGGGGAAAUAGCUUGAACAUUGAAAAGAAGCAGUAGCUUUUAGCUAUAAAAUCUCAUAUAUAAACAUUUAGAGAGUAUCUCUUGGAGGCAGAAACAGUGAAAGUUUCAAGUGUAGCUCGAGUCUUUGUUUGCCUCUCAUUUAUCGAAACUUCGAGGAAGUCAUUUCCUGCUCAUUUCGUCUCUCAGUUCGCUGCAUCGUAACAGGUAACAUUCUCGUCUCCAUUUCUCGUUUCCUUUUUUCGAAUGAUAUUUGUUCCGUUAUGUUUCCUAAACAAUAGUUGGUUUCAUUUUUUAAGUCACUUUUCGUUGUAUGUCCUCGAUAUAUCAUCGAAUAGAGUUUGAAUUUCGGUGACCCUUCCAAAUGUGCAUGAGAUUUUCUUUAAAGUUGGUUUUAUUGUCCGCGUUUGUUUAACAUCGUUUAUCCCAAGUUGGUAAGUUUCUAUUUUCCCCGCGUGACUCUUCACUGCGUAGUAUGGUUUGGACUUUUUGAUAGUUUGUUGUUCGGCUUACCUUUUAUUGUGUGUAUGUCUCUUGGUUUUGUUAUUCAUGUCCAUUGGUCGAACGACUUCCCGAAACAUCGAACUUUGUUUACCAUUUGUUUUACAUUGUUCCAAGCCGCUGUUGGUGACUAUCUAUCUUAGAAAAGCUCUAGAAUCACCAUUCCGCCGACAGAAUAAUCUCUCCUAGUCGGCGCGAUCUUGGUCUGCCAUACACUUGCUAGUUUUAUUUUUUAGCCCAUGAAAAUGGUAUUAUGAUUAACCUUGUGUGUGAUAAAAAUAGUGAGUGUAUAUUUGUUUGAAUCAUGUACUAUAUUAAUGUACUAAACAUUUGGACCCCGUAAUUAACUAAUGGCGAGUUCAUUAAGUAAUAAUUGAGUUUCAAAUUGUUUGAAUCUGUGUGUUUUCGUUUGAUUUAGGAGCAGCAUGUAUGUUUUUUUUCUUUUUUCUUGUCUCACUGCAGUACUGUUUGGUCAUGUUAGUUUACUUGCUACAUAGGUGAUUUGUGUUGGUCUUAUUUAAAAAACAGUUGUUGGUCUAAUUAUAAGCUUUCUUUUCCUUUAAAUUAAUUAGCUUUGGUGUUGAAUGAGCAAUUAAGCUUUUAUCUUUGUUUCGGCUAUCAUGACUAUUUUUAUGCGAUAGUUGGGUCCCUGUUCUUAGUCAGUAGCUUUUGAUACUAACUUGUUUCCCAUCUCAUGUUACAAGAAUGAAUUUAUUCCUCAAAAUCCUUAGAGCUCAUAAGUUAAUAUAUAAAUUUGCUCCACAUGUUUGAGAUUGUAGAAAGUAAAUUAUAUCAAAGCCUACAUGUAUUAUUGGUUUGUACUUAGUGAUCUCACAUGCCUAUUUUUCUUCACUGUAUUUAUUUUUACCUUGUUAACAUGGAAUCUAGUUUGUAUUAAGCAGAAGAUUGGUGUGACUAUUUUUAUUGUUUUAGUUACAGUAAGUGCUAAUGAUAUUUUCAUAUUCUCUGUCACAUGUGAAAUCCACCUAUGAGUCCGCAUGGGGCCAAAUUUUGUCCUAACAUAUUCGAGGGAGUCGUAAAGACUCAUGCUAUCGUCUAUCGAGUUCACUAACAAAACCGAUGAACAAGCUCCCAAGUGUAAAUUAGGUAAUACCAUCGAUGGUUGAUAUGUAUGUUAUUGUUGAAGGACCAAAGAAGUACAUAGUAAAUUUAAAUACAAGGUGUGUAGUUGCGGGAGAUUUCACCAUUAUGAAAUACCAUGUGAUCAUGUAAUUGCAGUUCUUAGAUACAAGAAACUACAUGAAACAUAUUUCUGUUCUGUCUUUUAUAGCGUGAAGAAUUUCAGAGGUGCAUAUGUCAUCCCUGUUGAACCUAUCCCAUGCUAGAGUUCGUGGUAUAUAUCCAUUAUAUUUCAAAGCCUAAUUGAUGGCACCCGGUCCAAGUAGAUCAGUUAGAAAAUCACAUGUUGAACGCUGAAAGAGGUUUGUCGAUGUGAAAUUCAAAAAGGUCAAAGGUUACUUGUAGUAGAUGUCGUCAAGUUGGACAUAGAGGAAAGACAUGUUCAAAUAAUCCUGUUAAAAAAAUAAUUUCAUGAUUUUUACUUUUUGUUACACAACAUGUUUUGUUUUAUGGAAUGAAUUUAGUUUAAUUAAUAUUUGA
Solanum pennellii is the source of this 2774-nucleotide long non-coding RNA. RefSeq lists it as uncharacterized. The record is from RefSeq and is a predicted model, not a curated record. NCBI's taxonomy places the organism in Eukaryota, Viridiplantae, Streptophyta, Magnoliopsida, Solanales, Solanaceae. The transcript is spliced from 2 exons.